RNAcentral lists this ribosomal RNA (544 nucleotides) under uncultured bacterium. RNAcentral's name for it is "partial 16S ribosomal RNA". It matches the Rfam family "Bacterial small subunit ribosomal RNA", at positions 355 to 895 of the family's 1533-position model. The record is from RNAcentral.
UGGGGAAUUUUGGACAAUGGGGAAACCCUGAUCCAGCCAUCCCGCGUGUGCGAUGAAGGCCUUCGGGUUGUAAAGCACUUUUGGCAGGAAAGAAACGUCGCGGGUUAAUACCCCGCGAAACUGACGGUACCUGCAGAAUAAGCACCGGCUAACUACGUGCCAGCAGCCGCGGUAAUACGUAGGGUGCAAGCGUUAAUCGGAAUUACUGGGCGUAAAGCGUGCGCAGGCGGUUCGGAAAGAAAGAUGUGAAAUCCCAGAGCUUAACUUUGGAACUGCAUUUUUAACUACCGGGCUAGAGUGUGUCAGAGGGAGGUGGAAUUCCGCGUGUAGCAGUGAAAUGCGUAGAUAUGCGGAGGAACACCGAUGGCGAAGGCAGCCUCCUGGGAUAACACUGACGCUCAUGCACGAAAGCGUGGGGAGCAAACAGGAUUAGAUACCCUGGUAGUCCACGCCCUAAACGAUGUCACUAGCUGUUGGGGCCUUCGGCCUUGGUAGCGCAGCUAACGCGUGAAGUUGACCGCCUGGGGAGUACGGUCGCAAGAUU